RNAcentral lists this long non-coding RNA (225 nucleotides) under Phaseolus vulgaris (common bean). RNAcentral describes it as "long non-coding RNA (PVUL_LNC000867)". Lineage: Eukaryota; Viridiplantae; Streptophyta; Magnoliopsida; Fabales; Fabaceae. The record is from RNAcentral.
GAGAAAAAUCAUCAAUGAAACUUAGAAUAUACCUAUUAUUGUUGCUUGAAAUUGGUUUGAUAGGUUCACAUAGGUCUGCAUGAACAAGUUGAAGUUUGUUGGAUGCUCUCCAUAGGCUUUUCCUCGGUAUAGACUUUCGAUAUUGCUUCUCAACCAAACAACACGUACAAAGAUCUAUUGUAGUAGUGAUAGAUGGCAACCCAUUUACUAAUUUCUUGGAUGAAA